This 464-nucleotide ribosomal RNA is filed under the name uncultured Phycisphaerae bacterium. RNAcentral describes it as "bacterial SSU rRNA". It matches the Rfam family "Bacterial small subunit ribosomal RNA", at positions 926 to 1382 of the family's 1533-position model. The record is from RNAcentral. Lineage: Bacteria; Pseudomonadati; Planctomycetota; Phycisphaerae.
CAAGCGUGGAGCAUGUGGAUUAAUUCGAAGCAACGCGCAGAACCUUUACCUAGGUUUGACAUGCUUGGAUGCUUGCCUGGAAACAGGUUAAGCUGCCUCGGGGUGAAACUUGCGCAGGUGCUGCAUGGCUGUCGUCAGCUCGUGUCGUGAGAUGUCGGGUUAAGUCCCUUAACGAGCGAAACCCUUGCCGUUAGUUACCAGCGGGUCAUGCCGGGAACUCUAGCGGGACUGCCGGUGUUAAACCGGAGGAAGGUGGGGAUGACGUCAAGUCAUCAUGGCCUUUAUGCCUAGGGCAUCACACGUGCUACAAUGGCCGGGACAAAGCGACGCAAGACCGCGAGGUGGAGCUAAUCGCAAAAACCCGGCCCCAGUUCGGAUUGCAGGCUGGCAACUCGCCUGCAUGAAGUUGGAAUCGCUAGUAAUCGUGAAUCAGCUAUGUCACGGUGAAUGUGUUCCUGAGCCUU